CUAGGAGCCGAUGAAGGACGUGAUAAGCUGCGAUAAGCUUCGGGGAGUUGCACGUAAACUUUGAUCCGAAGAUUUCCGAAUGAGGAAACUCACUUAGAGUAAUGUCUAAGUAUCAUUAAGUGAAUACAUAGCUUAAUGAGGGGAACUCAGGGAACUGAAACAUCUAAGUACCUGAAGGAAGAGAAAGAAAUUCGAUUCCGUAAGUAGCGGCGAGCGAACGCGGAUUAGCCCAAACCAAUAAAGUUUUCUUUAUUGGGGUUGCGGACAUAUCAUAACGAAGAGGUAUCGUAAUUGAAGAGGUUUGGAAAGAUCCACCACAGAAGGUAAUAGUCCUGUAUGUUAAACGAGAAGACUUUAGAUAUGAUCCAGAGUACCACGGGACACGUGAAACCCUGUGGGAAGCAGGAGGGACCACCCUCCAAGGCUAAAUACUACCUAGUGACCGAUAGCGUAUAGUACCGUGAGGGAAAGGUGAAAAGAACCCCGGGAGGGGAGUGAAAUAGAACCUGAAACCCUGCACUUACAAGCUGUGGAAGCACAUU
RNAcentral lists this ribosomal RNA (542 nucleotides) under Clostridioides difficile. RNAcentral describes it as "partial 23S ribosomal RNA". It matches the Rfam family "Bacterial large subunit ribosomal RNA", at positions 39 to 585 of the family's 2925-position model. The record is from RNAcentral. Lineage: Bacteria; Bacillati; Bacillota; Clostridia; Peptostreptococcales; Peptostreptococcaceae.